Molecule: ribosomal RNA, 525 nt
Filed under: Fusarium oxysporum
Lineage: Eukaryota; Fungi; Ascomycota; Sordariomycetes; Hypocreales; Nectriaceae
Description: eukaryotic LSU rRNA
Rfam family: 5.8S ribosomal RNA (bases 138-291)
Source: RNAcentral
UUCACUCCAACCCCUGUGACAUACCACUUGUUGCCUCGGCGGAUCAGCCCGCUCCCGGUAAAACGGGACGGCCCGCCAGAGGACCCCUAAACUCUGUUUCUAUAUGUAACUUCUGAGUAAAACCAUAAAUAAAUCAAAACUUUCAACAACGGAUCUCUUGGUUCUGGCAUCGAUGAAGAACGCAGCAAAAUGCGAUAAGUAAUGUGAAUUGCAGAAUUCAGUGAAUCAUCGAAUCUUUGAACGCACAUUGCGCCCGCCAGUAUUCUGGCGGGCAUGCCUGUUCGAGCGUCAUUUCAACCCUCAAGCACAGCUUGGUGUUGGGACUCGCGUUAAUUCGCGUUCCUCAAAUUGAUUGGCGGUCACGUCGAGCUUCCAUAGCGUAGUAGUAAAACCCUCGUUACUGGUAAUCGUCGCGGCCACGCCGUUAAACCCCAACUUCUGAAUGUUGACCUCGGAUCAGGUAGGAAUACCCGCUGAACUUAAGCAUAUCAAUAGUCGGAGGAAGGGAUCAUUACCGAGUUUAAA